RNAcentral lists this ribosomal RNA (561 nucleotides) under Triticum aestivum (bread wheat). RNAcentral describes it as "partial small subunit ribosomal RNA". The record is from RNAcentral. Lineage: Eukaryota; Viridiplantae; Streptophyta; Magnoliopsida; Poales; Poaceae.
AUGCUGAUGGGGUCCAACGAGGCGGACAAGCCGCUGCGGCGGAUCGGCGCGUCAUUCGAGCAGCUCGCGGCCGUCGCCAAGCAGCAGCAGCAGCCCGCGAUGGCUGCGGGGGACUUCUCACGCGCCUGCUCCAACGUCUCCGUCCUCUUCUGCUGCCUCGACAUCGCCUUCAAGUUUGCGGAGAUGGACUACGUAGCCAAGGCAAGCGGCCGCUCCUCCGCCCCCUCUCCUCCCCCGCUACCUGCUCUGCUGUUCGGUAUGCUACUUCGUUGUGCUUGUACUCUGCGUGCCAUCCACGUGGGAAGGUUUUUUGAUCUUGCAGGUCGUGGCGACCACCAACAAGACACCCAACUCCCGCACCCCGAACUACCCUACCCGAGCCUGCCGUCUCAGCUGAUGUGUCAAGUCCACAACAUCACCAUGCAUGUAGGUGUACUUGGUUCAUCUUCGGGUUCAGAUGUAGCGGCUGACAAGGACAAUGAGGAGGUCUACGCACAGAUGACUCUGCAACCAAUAAACUCUUUUAAUUGUACAUUUCGAGAUCAGUGCCAGUGUUUAUAA